CGCUCUCUGUAUAAUGAAUUAAAUAGAGAGUCGGACCUGCCCAGUGACGUAGUGUUAAACGGCCGCGGUACUCUGACCGUGCAAAGGUAGCAUAAUCACUUGCCUUUUAAUUGGAGGCUUGUAUGAAUGGUUUGACGAGAGCUAAGCUGUCUCCUUUUUAAUAUUUAGAAAUUAAUUUAUAAGUGAAGAGGCUUAUAUAUAUUUGAGGGACAAGAAGACCCUAUUGAGUUUAAGUAAAACUAAAAGUGAAUUAUUAUGUUUUUGAGUAUUAUGUAGUAAUAGUUGUAUAUAUAGAGGCAAGGCUUUUUUUUAAUCUUUAGUUGGGGCGACUGAGGAGCAUGAGAAGCUUCCUUUAGAAAUGGAUUAUGGCUAGCGAGUUAAUUUGAUCCAAUUUUUAUUGAUCAAAGGAAAAAAUUACCAUAGGGAUAACAGCGUAAUCUUUUCGGAGAGUUCUUAUCGAAGAAAGGGUUUGCGACCUCGAUGUUGGACUAAGAUAUCCCAGAGGUGUAGAAGUUUCUGAGGGUUGGUCUGUUCGACC
Molecule: ribosomal RNA, 538 nt
Filed under: Minolia watanabei
Lineage: Eukaryota; Metazoa; Mollusca; Gastropoda; Trochida; Solariellidae
Description: partial 16S ribosomal RNA
Rfam family: Bacterial large subunit ribosomal RNA
Source: RNAcentral